Anthonomus grandis grandis is the source of this 1883-nucleotide long non-coding RNA. RefSeq lists it as uncharacterized. Lineage: Eukaryota; Metazoa; Arthropoda; Insecta; Coleoptera; Curculionidae. The record is from RefSeq and is a predicted model, not a curated record. The transcript has 3 exons.
UAGAAUUAGUAAACAACAACUUUGUUUGAGUCCAACAUGUGCACAGGGGCAAGAGGGGUGUUUUAUUUACAAACAUAUGUGCCGAUUCUCUGUUGUCAAGUCGACACAAAUUUCCAACGGAGGAAAUUUUUAGCUAUAUUUUAACAAACAUUAUAACGUUAAUUUAACUUAUUUCUGUUAUAUUUUAUAGGAAAAUUUAAAAUAAACAGUAUAAAUACUACAAUUAACCUAUUUUAAGAAUAAAUAUAAUAUCCUUAAGCAAAAAAAAAAACAAAAUUAUUAACAUUCUUAUUCCUAAAACUGCUUCUAAAAAAUUUGAAGCGACAACACCGGAGCUUAAGCGCCUAAACCAUACGCGUUGUGUCAUCUGUCAAACGGCUCUUUGUUUAUAUUCGGGAUUCGUGUAUUUUCUUUAAUUUUUGGUUUAAAAAGGAAAAAAGGCCACGUUUUAGUGUUUUUUUAAAUUGCUAGGAUGGCAAAAACUUGUGUCGUUUGUCCCGCAUCAUGAUAAAAACGUGAUUCAAGCCGAUCUUUUCACAAGUAAGUACCGAUACUUUCAUAACAUCACAUCAUGGGGUAACCAUCAUCAUAAACGUAGAAUAGGGGAUCUUAUAGAUAUAAACCUAAUAAAAAUUUGAAUGUGAAAGUGUGCGUAAAAUACCAACAUAUUUAUAUUUUUAAAUCUAAAUAUUUUUUUGAACAUAUUCAUCUAUUAAUAGGCUAUAAAAGAUAUAAAACUAGAAUUUUGUCCCUGGUUUUAUUACAGGAUUUUAUGUUUUUUUUGUUGUUUUGGCAGAAAAAAUGCAUAAUACCUAUGUACCUAUCUAUAUAUAGUUUGAUAUCUAUGUAUAAAGUUAAUUUUGUCUUUCUUUAAAAUUUGUUCCAUAAUUUUUUUUUGUUUUACCUUAUUGCAACUUACAAUAAUAUAUAUAGUAAUUGGCACCACAUAUUAAUUUAUUACUGUAAUUUUUUUCUGCUUUUUGAUUAAAUAUCAAAUACUUAUUAUAGAUUGCCCAAUGAUUAUGCCCAAAGGGAACAAUGGGUUUCAUUAAUGGAAAUCAACACAUUUAAAAAGAACAUAUUUGUUUGUUCAGAUCACAUCCUUAGAAGUGAUAUAAGGGAGAUAAUAUUAUCAGUAGCCAGACUUUAUUAAAAAAAUCAGCUCUACCUCAAAGGAUUUCUGAUGCACUGGUUAAAAACACAGCAGCCAAUAAUUCAGUUAAUUUACCAAGUGAUUUACCCUUCAAAGCUACAGGGGUAGCUUUCCUGAAGAGUGCAAAAACUUCUUUAGCUUUCAAAAUGGUAUAUAGUACAAACAGUGAAGCUAAUAUACUUACUUAGACACAUCUGAUCAUUCAUCAUCAACAAUAACUGCAUCUGAGAAUUAUAGUUCUACAGUAACCGUGGAGUCUAGGUCAACAAUUACUAUUUCUCAUCCAAGCCGUUUUUGUUUAACUGCUACACAUUCCCUGACUCUGCCAAGGAAAAGGUAUAAAUACACUCAAAAUAGACUACUAGUUUUAUGCCAUGUAUCAUCCUAUUCUAUAUAUCUUAUUUAAAAGUGAUAUGGUAUUUUAUUGUAUUAUAUUUGUUUAAUUAAAUGCAAUUAAUCAAAUGUAUGAUAUUACAAAGAUUCUCUAUAAUAACAUACAUUUUAUUGAUCAAUUGGAUUAUCAUAAUACAUUUUUUUAAUUUUUUCUUUUUAAUUUUGGUAAUACUAUAUUUUUAUGUAUAUUAUUCUAGGGUAAAAUCAAAUGAUAUCCUGAGGACCUAAGCACUGAUGAUUCCACCGUUUCAAGAGCUUAAUCACUUGUCACCAGAUUAUGGAAAAAAAAUAAAGAACAAAAAAUCAAAAUUCGAAGAUUGCAACAAGCAAAUUUGCG